Molecule: long non-coding RNA, 660 nt
Filed under: Homo sapiens (human)
Lineage: Eukaryota; Metazoa; Chordata; Mammalia; Primates; Hominidae
Description: HSALNT0290728
Source: RNAcentral
GGAUCACGAGGUCAGGAGAUCAAGACCAUCCUGGCCAACAUGAUCAGGAAAUUGAGGUCCAGUGAGGUGUCUUGGCCAGGACACUCAGUCAGGACGUGACAUGAACACAGGACUGUCUGACUUCAAAUCCAGUGCUCCUUCCCCUGCAGUCCCCACCCCACUGACUGGGGGACAGUGCUCCAGGCAGCUGGAAUGGGACACGGUUUGUGUGGCAGCGAGAUAUCCAGGCUCUCCUCCUUCCAGAUCUAAGGAUUCAAACCCAGGUCUGCUUGACUAGGAAGGCCGGCCCUCUCCAUGGUGCCAGGACAACUCUUUGGAGAAGAUGCCCCUCUCUCUGCCUGCCUGAAUCUUCUCCGUCCACAAAGGCCUGCUCCAUCCUCCCUCCUCCAGGAAGCUUUCCCUGACUGUCCCCGGGCCCAGCCAGGGUGUCUGGGGGGCUGGAGAGACCCACAGAGCCCUGAUCACCGUGGCUGGCCCGUAAGUGUGGCGACUGAGUCCCAGUCUGGAGGCACAGCUGGACUUUCCCAGAGAGAACUGAGGCAUUGUGGGAAUUUCCCAGCUGUGACCCCAGGACCCUGAUUGCCCAGAAUGGCUCCAAGUUCACAUAUCUAGGGACCGUCACCAAGACUCCUGUAUCUAUAUUAAACUCGGUAAAUGUGA